GAGAUUCCCCCAGUAGCGGCGAGCGAACGGGGAGCAGCCCAGAGCCUGAAUCAGUGUGUGUGUUAGUGGAAGCGUCUGGAAAGGCGUGCGAUACAGGGCGACAGCCCCGUACACAAAAAUGCACAUACUGUGAGCUCGAUGAGUAGGGCGGGACACGUGGUAUCCUGUCUGAAUAUGGGGGGACCAUCCUCCAAGGCUAAAUACUCCUGACUGACCGAUAGUGAACCAGUACCGUGAGGGAAAGGCGAAAAGAA
RNAcentral lists this ribosomal RNA (254 nucleotides) under Escherichia coli. RNAcentral describes it as "partial 23S ribosomal RNA". It matches the Rfam family "Bacterial large subunit ribosomal RNA", at positions 231 to 523 of the family's 2925-position model. The record is from RNAcentral. Lineage: Bacteria; Pseudomonadati; Pseudomonadota; Gammaproteobacteria; Enterobacterales; Enterobacteriaceae.